CCAAUAGCGUAUAUUAAAGUUGUUGCAGUUAAAAAGCUCGUAGUUGAAUUUCGGGAUUAGUACGUCGGUCGUGCCUUCGGUACGUACUGGUGUUACUGAUUCCUACCUUCUGACGAACCAUCAUGUCAUUAAUUUGGUGUGGCGGGGAAUCAGGACUGUUACUUUGAAAAAAUUAGAGUGUUUAAAGCAGGCUCGCGCUUGAAUACAUUAGCAUGGAAUAAUGAAAUAGGACGUUGACCCUAUUUUGUUGGUUUCUAGGAUUGACGUAAUGAUUAAUAGGGAUAGUUGGGGGAAUUAGUAUUCAAUUGUCAGAGGUGAAAUUCUUGGAUUUAUUGAAGACUAACUACUGCGAAAGCAUUUGCCAAGGAUGUUUUCAUUAAUCAAGAACGAAAGUUAGGGGAUCGAAGACGAUCAGAUACCGUCGUAGUCUUAACCAUAAACUAUGCCGACUAGGGAUCGGAUGAUGUUAUUUUUAAUGACUCAUUCGGCGCCUUACG
Molecule: unclassified non-coding RNA, 497 nt
Filed under: uncultured Glomus
Lineage: Eukaryota; Fungi; Glomeromycota; Glomeromycetes; Glomerales; Glomeraceae
Description: SSU rRNA
Rfam family: Eukaryotic small subunit ribosomal RNA
Source: RNAcentral